UCGCCAUUGGAUGGGCCCGCGUCGGAUUAGCUAGUUGGUGGGGUAAUGGCCUACCAAGGCGACGAUCCGUAGCUGGUCUGAGAGGAUGAUCAGCCACACUGGGACUGAGACACGGCCCAG
This 120-nucleotide ribosomal RNA is filed under the name uncultured bacterium. Its description in RNAcentral is "partial 16S ribosomal RNA". It matches the Rfam family "Bacterial small subunit ribosomal RNA", at positions 215 to 334 of the family's 1533-position model. The record is from RNAcentral.